Molecule: ribosomal RNA, 498 nt
Filed under: Triticum aestivum (bread wheat)
Lineage: Eukaryota; Viridiplantae; Streptophyta; Magnoliopsida; Poales; Poaceae
Description: partial small subunit ribosomal RNA
Source: RNAcentral
AUGUCGUCGGUGUUCAGCGGCGAUGAGACCGCCCCCUUCUUCGGCUUUCUCGGCGCCGCCGCGGCGCUCGUCUUCUCAUGUAUGGGAGCGGCCUACGGGACGGCCAAGAGCGGCGUCGGCGUGGCGUCCAUGGGAGUCAUGCGCCCGGAGCUCGUCAUGAAGUCCAUCGUGCCCGUUGUCAUGGCUGGAGUGCUCGGUAUCUACGGGCUUAUUAUCGCCGUCAUCAUCAGUACCGGGAUCAACCCCAAGGCCAAGCCCUACUACCUCUUCGACGGCUACGCCCACCUCUCGUCCGGCCUCGCCUGUGGCCUUGCAGGCCUUGCUGCUGGCAUGGCCAUCGGCAUUGUUGGUGAUGCUGGAGUCAGGGCAAAUGCUCAACAGCCCAAGCUGUUUGUCGGCAUGAUCCUCAUCCUCAUCUUCGCAGAGGCGCUCGCUCUCUACGGUCUCAUUGUCGGCAUCAUCCUGUCAUCCCGAGCUGGCCAGUCUCGUGCUGAUUAG